This 254-nucleotide ribosomal RNA is filed under the name uncultured bacterium. RNAcentral's name for it is "partial 16S ribosomal RNA". It matches the Rfam family "Bacterial small subunit ribosomal RNA", at positions 524 to 776 of the family's 1533-position model. The record is from RNAcentral.
UACGAAGGGGGCUAGCGUUGCUCGGAAUUACUGGGCGUAAAGGGCGCGUAGGCGGCCAGCACAAGUCAGUUGUGAAAUCUCCGAGCUUAACUCGGAAAGGUCAACUGAUACUGUGCGGCUAGAGUGCGGAAGGGGCAACUGGAAUUCUUGGUGUAGCGGUGAAAUGCGUAGAUAUCAAGAGGAACACCUGCGGCGAAGGCGGGUUGCUGGGCCGACACUGACGCUGAUGCGCGAAAGCUAGGGGAGCGAACGGG